AUUGUGGACCCACCUGAUUCCAUGUCGAACUCAGAAGUGAAACACAAUAGCGCCGAUGGUAGUGUGGGGCUUCCCCAUGUGAGAGUAGGACAUCGUCAGGC
This 101-nucleotide ribosomal RNA is filed under the name Vibrio crassostreae. Lineage: Bacteria; Pseudomonadati; Pseudomonadota; Gammaproteobacteria; Vibrionales; Vibrionaceae. The record is from RNAcentral.